This 89-nucleotide transfer RNA is filed under the name Mammaliicoccus phage vB_MscM-PMS3. It matches the Rfam family "tRNA". From Rfam's summary of the family: Transfer RNA (tRNA) molecules are approximately 80 nucleotides in length. Their secondary structure includes four short double-helical elements and three loops (D, anti-codon, and T loops). The record is from Rfam by way of RNAcentral. Lineage: Duplodnaviria; Heunggongvirae; Uroviricota; Caudoviricetes; Herelleviridae. RNAcentral also lists the same sequence under 1 other name.
GGAAUGUUACUCAAGAGGCUUAAGAGGUUUGGUUGCUAACCAAAUAGGUGAGUUUAUCUCAUGCAUAGGUUCAAAUCCUAUACAUUCCG